CACGUAGGCGGCCAUUCAAGUCAGAGGUGAAAGCCCGGGGCUCAACCCCGGAACUGCCUCUGAAACUAGAUGGCUUGAAUCUUGGAGAGGCGAGUGGAAUUCCGAGUGUAGAGGUGAAAUUCGUAGAUAUUCGGAGGAACACCAGUGGCGAAGGCGGCUUACUGGUCCAUUACUGACGCUGAGGUGCGAAAGCGUGGGGAGCAAACA
RNAcentral lists this ribosomal RNA (207 nucleotides) under uncultured bacterium. RNAcentral's name for it is "partial 16S ribosomal RNA". It matches the Rfam family "Bacterial small subunit ribosomal RNA", at positions 568 to 774 of the family's 1533-position model. The record is from RNAcentral.